AGUAGGAUAACUGGGUCAUCUGGUGUUUCCAUUCCUAGUCUUUUAAGGAAUCUCCAUACUGCUUACCAGAGUGGUUGCACCAACUUGCAGUCUCACCAGCAAU
RNAcentral lists this microRNA precursor (103 nucleotides) under Marmota monax (woodchuck). Lineage: Eukaryota; Metazoa; Chordata; Mammalia; Rodentia; Sciuridae. The record is from RNAcentral.